RNAcentral lists this ribosomal RNA (492 nucleotides) under uncultured bacterium. RNAcentral describes it as "partial 16S ribosomal RNA". It matches the Rfam family "Bacterial small subunit ribosomal RNA", at positions 30 to 507 of the family's 1533-position model. The record is from RNAcentral.
AUUGAACGCUGGCGGUAGGCCUAACACAUGCAAGUCGAACGGCAACACAGUGAGGCCUGGCUCUUACCGGUGGCGAGGGGCGGGCGGGUGAAGAAUACAUCGAAAUCUACUUUGUCGGGGGGGAUAACGUGGGAACGCUUACGCUAAUACCGCAUACUACCUACAGGUAAAAGCAGGGGAUCUUGGCCCCUUGCGCGAUUGUAUGAGCCGAUGUCGGAUUAGCUAGUUGGCGGGGUAAAGGCCCACCAAGGCGACGAUCCGUAGCUGGUCUGAGAGGAUGAUCAGCCACACUGGAACUGAGACACGGUCCAGACUCCUACGGGAGGCAGCAGUGGGGAAUAUUGGACAAUGGGCGCAAGCCUGAUGCAGCCAUGCCGCGUGGGUGAAGAAGGCCUUCGGGUUGUAAAGCACUUUUGUUGGGAAAGAAAAGAAGCAGGUUAAUACCCCGCCGUUUUGACGGUACCCAAAGAAUAAGCACCGGCUAACUUCGUG